UGCUUAGUGUAGAAUUUUAUGCAGAUCAAAUCACGUCUUAUAAUAAGAAGUAAUCUUUCUCGGUAUCAAUCCCCAUGCCCCUCAUUCUUUGAGAAUCAGAAGGAUCCUUUUCGAGUUUCCAUUUCUUCAUUUGGAUAUUCUUAG
This 144-nucleotide ribosomal RNA is filed under the name Triticum aestivum (bread wheat). RNAcentral describes it as "partial small subunit ribosomal RNA". The record is from RNAcentral. Lineage: Eukaryota; Viridiplantae; Streptophyta; Magnoliopsida; Poales; Poaceae.